RNAcentral lists this ribosomal RNA (537 nucleotides) under uncultured bacterium. Its description in RNAcentral is "bacterial SSU rRNA". It matches the Rfam family "Bacterial small subunit ribosomal RNA", at positions 968 to 1509 of the family's 1533-position model. The record is from RNAcentral.
CCUUAACCUACCCUUGACAUGUCUGGAAUGCCGAAGAGAUUUGGCAGUGCUCGCAAGAGAACCGGAACACAGGUGCUGCAUGGCUGUCGUCAGCUCGUGUCGUGAGAUGUUGGGUUAAGUCCCGCAACGAGCGCAACCCUUGUCAUUAGUUGCUACGAAAGGGCACUCUAAUGAGACUGCCGGUGACAAACCGGAGGAAGGUGGGGAUGACGUCAAGUCCUCAUGGCCCUUAUGGGUAGGGCUUCACACGUCAUACAAUGGUCGGGACAGAGGGCUGCCAACCCGCAAGGGGGAGCCAAUCCCAGAAACCCGAUCGUAGUCCGGAUCGCAGUCUGCAACUCGACUGCGUGAAGUCGGAAUCGCUAGUAAUCGCGGAUCAGCAUGUCGCGGUGAAUACGUUCCCGGGUCUUGUACACACCGCCCGUCACACCAUGGGAGUGGGUUUUACCAGAAGUAGUUAGCCUAACCGCAAGGGGGGCGAUUACCACGGUAGGAUUCAUGACUGGGGUGAAGUCGUAACAAGGUAAGCGUAGCGAG